RNAcentral lists this ribosomal RNA (448 nucleotides) under uncultured bacterium. RNAcentral describes it as "bacterial SSU rRNA". It matches the Rfam family "Bacterial small subunit ribosomal RNA", at positions 337 to 802 of the family's 1533-position model. The record is from RNAcentral.
UCCUACGGGAGGCAGCAGUGGGGAAUAUUGCACAAUGGGCGAAAGCCUGAUGCAGCCAUGCCGCGUGAGUGAUGAAGGCCUUAGGGUUGUAAAGCUCUUUCACCGGUGAAGAUAAUGACGGUAGCCGGAGAAGAAGCCCCGGCUAACUCCGUGCCAGCAGCCGCGGUAAUACGGAGGGGGCUAGCGUUGUUCGGAAUUACUGGGCGUAAAGCGCGCGUAGGCGGGCUAGUAAGUUGGGGGUGAAAUCCCGAGGCUUAAACUCGGAACUGCCUCCAAAACUGCUAGUCUUGAGAUCGAGAGAGGUAAGUGGAAUUCCUAGUGUAGAGGUGAAAUUCGUAGAUAUUAGGAAGAACACCAGUGGCGAAGGCGGCUUACUGGCUCGAUACUGACGCUGAGGCGCGAAAGCGUGGGGAGCAAACAGGAUUAGAUACCCCGGUAGUCCAAGCCG